This 253-nucleotide ribosomal RNA is filed under the name uncultured bacterium. RNAcentral describes it as "partial 16S ribosomal RNA". It matches the Rfam family "Bacterial small subunit ribosomal RNA", at positions 524 to 776 of the family's 1533-position model. The record is from RNAcentral.
UACGGAGGGAGCUAGCGUUGUUCGGAAUUACUGGGCGUAAAGCGCACGUAGGCGGCUUAUCAAGUCAGGGGUGAAAUCCCGGGGCUCAACCCCGGAACUGCCUCUGAAACUGGCAAGCUAGAAUCUUGGAGAGGUCAGUGGAAUUCCGAGUGUAGAGGUGAAAUUCGUAGAUAUUCGGAAGAACACCAGUGGCGAAGGCGACUGACUGGACAAGUAUUGACGCUGAGGUGCGAAAGCGUGGGGAGCAAACAGG